CCUACGGGAGACUGCAGUGGGGAAUAUUGCGCAAUGGGCGAAAGCCUGACGCAGCGACGCCGCGUGAGGGAUGAAGGUCUUCGGAUCGUAAACCUCUGUUAGCAGGGAAGAACGGUCACUGUGCUAAUCAGCAGUGAAUUGACGGUACCUGCAAAGGAAGCAACGGCUAACUCCGUGCAAGCAGCCGCGGUAAGACGGAGGGUGCGGGCGUUAAUCGGUAUUACUGGGCGUAAAGCGCGCGUAGGCGGUAUGUCAAGUCAAGGGUGAAAUCCCCGCGCUCAACGUGGGAACUGCCUGUGAAACUGGCAAACUGGAGUGUGUGAGAGGAUAGUGGAAUUCCAGGUGUAGGAGUGAAAUCCGUAGAUAUCUGGAGGAACAUCAGUGGCGAAGGCGACUAUCUGGCACAUAACUGACGCUGAGGAGCGAAAGCGUGGGUAGCAAACAGGAUUAGAUACCCCAGUAGUC
This 465-nucleotide ribosomal RNA is filed under the name uncultured bacterium. RNAcentral's name for it is "partial 16S ribosomal RNA". It matches the Rfam family "Bacterial small subunit ribosomal RNA", at positions 338 to 795 of the family's 1533-position model. The record is from RNAcentral.